GACGAACGCUGGCGGCGUGCUUAACACAUGCAAGUCGAACGGAAAGGCGCUGCUCUUGUGGGGUGCUCGAGUGGCGAACGGGUGAGUAACACAUGAGGAACCUGCACCUGAAUUAGGGAUAAAUUCAGGAAACUGGGGAUAAUACCGGAUAGGAGCUACUGCUGCAUGUGGGGGGAUGGAAAGAUUCGGCGGUUGUGGAUGGAAUAGCGGCUUAUGAGCUGGAUGGUGGGGUAGUGGAGUACAAAGGCUUUGACGGGUAGCCGGCCUUGGAGGGUGACCGGCCACAAUGGGCCUGCGAUACGGCCCAGACUCCUACGGGAGGCAGCAGUGGGGAAUAUUGCACAAUGGGCGGAAGCCUGAUGCAGCAACGCCGCGUGCGGGAUGCCGUCCUUCGGGUUGUAAACCGCUUUCGCCUGUGACGAAGCGUGAGUGACGGUAAUGGGUAAAGAAGCACCGGCUAACUACGUG
This 468-nucleotide ribosomal RNA is filed under the name uncultured bacterium. Its description in RNAcentral is "partial 16S ribosomal RNA". It matches the Rfam family "Bacterial small subunit ribosomal RNA", at positions 28 to 507 of the family's 1533-position model. The record is from RNAcentral.